UUAAUUUAGACAUUAGGGUUUAGAGUUAAGGGGUGAGGUUUAUGAUUUAGGAUUUAGGGUUUAGAGUUUAGAGGUGGGGUUUAGGGUUUAGAGUUAAUGGGUGGGGUUUAUGGUUUAAGGUUUAGAGUUUAAGGUUUAGAGUUUAGAGUUUAGGUUUUAGAGUUUAGAGUUGGGGAGUGAGAUUUUGGGAUAAGAUUUCAAAUUUUGAAAAAUAAAAAAAAAAUAAACUUUUCAAAACAUAAAAUGCUAUUUUGGUCAUUUUAGUUUUUGAGGACUAUUUUUGUGACAUAAACUUAGAAAUGUGCUAUUUUGGAGAUUUGCCCAAUA
RNAcentral lists this long non-coding RNA (327 nucleotides) under Brassica napus (rape). RNAcentral's name for it is "long non-coding RNA (BNAP_LNC020229)". Lineage: Eukaryota; Viridiplantae; Streptophyta; Magnoliopsida; Brassicales; Brassicaceae. The record is from RNAcentral.